UUUCUGAUCCCUUGACUUUUCACCGACAGAAAGUUUUUUCUGAAUAAAUUAUUAGGGGAAAUUGCCAAAAACACCAUUUUCAAAAUACCACUUUUCAUGUUUACACUAACCACUUUUAUUCUCAUCUUUAGUGAAGGGUAAAAGACAUUUAUAACCUUUUGAUUACAUUUGACAAAAAAAACAUAUGGUUAACUAAUCUAAACUUAAAACAUCAACUCUAAACCCUAAAUCAUCAACUUUAAACCCUAAACCAUGAAACAUCAACUCGAAACAUCAACUCUAAACCCUAAACCCUAAACCCUAAAACUUUAAAUCUAAACCCUAAAACUUCAAUUCUAAACCCUAAACGUAAACCCUAAACUCUAAAUCUAAACUUAAAACAUCAACUUUAAACCCUAAAUCUAAACUUAAAACAUCAACUUUAAACCCUAAAUCAUCAACUCUAAACCCUAAACCAUGAAACAUCAACUCUAAACCCUAAAUCCUGAAACAUCAACUCUAAACCCUAAUCCUAAACCUUCAAAUCAAAACCCUAAAACAUCAACUCUAAACCCUAAAUGAAAACCCUAAACUCUAAACCUUAUAUUUUUCUGAAAUUCGAACCCUAAACCCUAAAACCCUAAACCUUCAAAUCUAAACCCUAAAACAGUAACUCUAAACCCUAAACGUAAACCCUAAACCCUAAAUCUUCAAAUCUAAACCCUAAAACAUCAACUCUAGGGUUUUAGGGUUUAGGGUUUAGGGUUUAGAGUUGAAAGUUUAGGGUUUAGGGUUUAGAGUUGAUGUUUUAGGGUUUAGGGUUAAUUUGGGUUUAGGGUUUAGAGUUGAUGUUUUGGGGUUUAGGGUUUAGAGUUGAUGUUUCAGGGUUUAGGGUUUAGGGUUCGUAUUUCAAAAAUAAAUAGGGUUUAGGAUUGAUGGUUUAGGGUUUAGAGUUGAGUUUUUUAGAGUUGAUGUUUUAGGGUUUAGGGUUAAUUUUUUAGGGUUUAGGGUUUAGAGUUUACUUCUUAGGAUUUAGGGUUUAGUGUUGACAGUUUAGGGUUUAGGGUUUAGAGUUGAUGUUUUAGGGUUUAGAGUUGAAAGUUUAGGGUUUAGGGUUUAGAGUUGAUGUUUUGGGGUUUAGGGUUUAGAGUUGAUGUUUCAGGGUUUAGGGUUUAGGGUUCGUAUUUCAAAAAUAAAUAGGGUUUAGGAUUGAUGGUUUAGGGUUUAGAGUUGAGUUUUAUGGUUUAGGGUUUGAAUUUUGAAAUAGUAUAAUUCAGAAAAAAAUUAGAAACAUUAUUUUUUAUUUUUUUAGAUUUUUAUUUAUUUAAAUAUUUACUUAUUAUAUAUAU
This 1328-nucleotide long non-coding RNA is filed under the name Brassica napus (rape). Its description in RNAcentral is "long non-coding RNA (BNAP_LNC015715)". The record is from RNAcentral. Lineage: Eukaryota; Viridiplantae; Streptophyta; Magnoliopsida; Brassicales; Brassicaceae.